This 275-nucleotide ribosomal RNA is filed under the name Demodex canis (dog follicle mite). Its description in RNAcentral is "partial 16S ribosomal RNA". The record is from RNAcentral. Lineage: Eukaryota; Metazoa; Arthropoda; Arachnida; Trombidiformes; Demodicidae.
CUAAGGCAGCGAAGUCAUUUGUUCUUUUAUUGAGAACUUGUAUGAGUGGAGUUAUGGAGGUUUUUUUAUAAACGGUUUUUUAGCUGAAUUUGAUUUAUCUGUGAAAAGUUAGAUUUGUUUUCAAAGACGAGAAGACCCCGAAAUCUUUAUUUUAAAAUAAUGGGUUUUAAUUUUUGUUUGGGGGAAAAGUUAAUUUGUAUUAUUUUUUUUUUUAGUGUGAACUUUGUUAGGUUAAGUGGAUAGAUACUUCGGGGUUAACAGAAUUAUUUUCUUUU